Molecule: unclassified non-coding RNA, 376 nt
Filed under: soil metagenome
Description: partial contains 5.8S ribosomal RNA, internal transcribed spacer 2, and large subunit ribosomal RNA
Rfam family: 5.8S ribosomal RNA (bases 1-120)
Source: RNAcentral
GAUGAAGAACGCAGCGAAAUGCGAUAAGUAAUGUGAAUUGCAGAAUUCAGUGAAUCAUCGAAUCUUUGAACGCAUCUUGCGCUCCUUGGUAUUCUGAGGAGCAUGCCUGUUUGAGUGUCAUUAAAUUCUCAACUACACUGACUUUGAAUUGGUGUGGCUUGGAUUUGGGGGGAAAAUUGUUGUGGGCUUUUUGUAUAGUCUGCUCCCCUGAAAUUGAUUAGCGGUACCUUUGUGGAACUGUCUACAGGUGUGAUAAUUAUCUACAUCUUAGACAUCUGCUGGAAUGCUGCUUUCUAAUCCUUACUUGUAUUGACAAUCUUGACCUCAAAUCAGGUAGGACUACCCGCUGAACUUAAGCAUAUCAAUAAGCGGAGGA